This 280-nucleotide unclassified non-coding RNA is filed under the name Oryza sativa (Asian cultivated rice). RNAcentral describes it as "partial microRNA MIR439i precursor". The record is from RNAcentral. Lineage: Eukaryota; Viridiplantae; Streptophyta; Magnoliopsida; Poales; Poaceae.
AAUAGCCCUCCGAAAUCUUGCUAUUUAGGAAUAUUAAACAUAUAUUACUGACAGAACCCAUUCCAUAACCCCUAGUCUAUUUUGCGAGACGAAUCUAACGAGUAACGAGGUAUAUUAAUCUAUGAUUAGUGGAUGAUUAUUGUAGCAUCACUGUAGCAAAUCGUGGAUUAAUAUACCUCGUUAGAUUCGUCUCGCAAAAUAGCCUAGGGAUUAUGGAAUGGAUUUUAUCAUUAAUCUACGUUUAAUACUCAUAAAUAGUAAGAUUCCGGAUCCAAACAGG